Molecule: ribosomal RNA, 251 nt
Filed under: Vibrio cholerae
Lineage: Bacteria; Pseudomonadati; Pseudomonadota; Gammaproteobacteria; Vibrionales; Vibrionaceae
Description: partial 16S ribosomal RNA
Rfam family: Bacterial small subunit ribosomal RNA
Source: RNAcentral
UUAAUUGAAGAGUUUGAUCAUGGCUCAGAUUGAACGCUGGCGGCAGGCCUAACACAUGCAAGUCGAGCGGCAGCACAGAGGAACUUGUUCCUUGGGUGGCGAGCGGCGGACGGGUGAGUAAUGCCUGGGAAAUUGCCCGGUAGAGGGGGGAUAACCAUUGGAAACGAUGGCUAAUACCGCAUAACCUCGCAAGAGCAAAGCAGGGGACCUUCGGGCCUUGCGCUACCGGAUAUGCCCAGGUGGGAUUAGCU